Molecule: ribosomal RNA, 504 nt
Filed under: Triticum aestivum (bread wheat)
Lineage: Eukaryota; Viridiplantae; Streptophyta; Magnoliopsida; Poales; Poaceae
Description: partial small subunit ribosomal RNA
Source: RNAcentral
AUGGCAUCUCAGGAGGAGGCAGGCGGAUCGCGCCCAAGGAAGGAACCGAUCGAAGAUCUCCUGAAGCGCCUGGAUCUGCAGGAAGAAGAAGAGGAGAACUUCGUCCGGGAGGAGGAAUUCCAGGAAAAUCGGGUGGAGGCGAAGUGGCUCGCGAUUGCAAAAGUCCAUACAGAUAAGGGGUUUAGUCCAUCUGCCAUGUACUCGCAUAUGAGCUCCGCCUGGAAUCCGGCGAAGGAGACGCGAUGGCGCAGGAUUGAAGAUAACCUAUUCCCGGUACAGUUUGGCUGCCUGGGUGACUGGAACACGGCGAUGAACAUGGGGCCGUGGCUCUUCCGUGACCAUGGCCUUCUGAUUGCGGAAUAUGAUGGGUUUACGAAUUCAACUUCUGUAGUGCUUAACAAAAUAGUGGUAUGGGCAAGAAUCUUGAAGUUGCCUGAUAAUUACCUAAUUCAUGCAGCAAUUAAGGGGAUGUGCAGGAAGAUGGGGAAGAUCUUAGAGAUUUAG